AUUGAACGCUCGCGGCAGGCUUAACACAUGCAAGUCGAGCGGGGUGAUGGUGCUUGCACUAUCACUUAGCGGCGGACGGGUGAGUAAUGCUUAGGAAUCUGCCUAUUAGUGGUGGACAACAUCUCGAUAGGGAUGCUAAUACCGCAUACGUCCUACGGGAGAAAGCAGGGGAUCACUUGUGACCUUGCGCUAAUAGAUGAGCCUAAGUCGGAUUAGCGAGUUGGUGGGGUAAAGGCCUACCAAGGCGACGAUCUGUAGCGGGUCUGAGAGGAUGAUCCGCCACACUGGGACUGAGAAACGGCCCAGACUCCUACGGGAGGCAGCAGUGGGGAAUAUUGGACAAUGGGGGGAACCCUGAUCCAGCCAUGCCGCGUGUGUGAAGAAGGCCUUAUGGUUGUAAAGCACUUUAAGCGAGGAGGAGGCUCUUCUGGUUAAUACCCAAGAUGAGUGGACGUUACUCGCAGAAUAAGCACCGGCUAACUCUGUGCCAGCAGCCGCCGUAA
Molecule: ribosomal RNA, 503 nt
Filed under: uncultured bacterium
Lineage: Bacteria
Description: partial 16S ribosomal RNA
Rfam family: Bacterial small subunit ribosomal RNA
Source: RNAcentral